Molecule: unclassified non-coding RNA, 253 nt
Filed under: uncultured Oceanospirillales bacterium
Lineage: Bacteria; Pseudomonadati; Pseudomonadota; Gammaproteobacteria; Oceanospirillales
Description: contains 16S-23S intergenic spacer region
Rfam family: Bacterial small subunit ribosomal RNA
Source: RNAcentral
UACGGAGGGUGCGAGCGUUAAUCGGAAUAACUGGGCGUAAAGCGCGCGUAGGUGGUUGAGUCAGUCAGAUGUGAAAGCCCCGGGCUUAACCUGGGAUCUGCACUUGAUGCUGCUUGGCUAGAGUACGGUAGAGGGCAGUGGAAUUUCCUGUGUAGCGGUGAAAUGCGUAGAUAUCGGAAGGAACACCGGUGGCGAAGGCGACUGUCUGGACUGAUACUGACACUGAGGUGCGAAAGCGUGGGUAGCAAACAGG